CCUGUUGAGCUUGACUCUAGUCUGACGUUGUGAAAUGACUUGGGAGGUGUAGAAUAAGUGGGAGGCUCUGCCGUCUGUGAAAUACCACUACUCUCAAUGUUGUUUUACUUAUACCAUGAUGUAGCAUCUGUGUGGCCUCGCGGUCGCUCAGUUCUAGUUGUAAACUUGGGCUUUUGCCUGGGUGAGCUACGUGGAAGACAUCGUCAGGUGGGGAGUUUGGCUGGGGCGGCACAUCUGUUAAAUGAUAACACAGGUGUCCUAAGGUGAGCUCAAUGAGAACAGAAAUCUCAUGUAGAACAAAAGGGUAAAAGCUCACUUGAUUUUGAUUUUCAGUAUGAAUACAAACCGUGAAAGCGUGGCCUAUCGAUCCUUUAGUUCUUUUGAAUUUUAAGCUAGAGGUGUCAGAAAAGUUACCACAGG
Molecule: non-coding RNA, 420 nt
Filed under: Phytophthora infestans T30-4
Lineage: Eukaryota; Oomycota; Peronosporomycetes; Peronosporales; Peronosporaceae
Description: Eukaryotic large subunit ribosomal RNA
Rfam family: Eukaryotic large subunit ribosomal RNA
Source: Rfam by way of RNAcentral